UCUACGGGACGCAGCAGGCGCGAAAACUUUACAAUGCGGGCAACCGUGAUAAGGGAACCUCGAGUGCCUGUAUAUGCAGGCUGUCCAGGUGUCUAAAACACACUUGAAGAAAGGGCCGGGCAAGACCGGUGCCAGCAGCCGCGGUAAUA
Molecule: ribosomal RNA, 149 nt
Filed under: uncultured Methanoculleus sp.
Lineage: Archaea; Methanobacteriati; Methanobacteriota; Methanomicrobia; Methanomicrobiales; Methanomicrobiaceae
Description: partial 16S ribosomal RNA
Rfam family: Archaeal small subunit ribosomal RNA
Source: RNAcentral